This 260-nucleotide unclassified non-coding RNA is filed under the name Chytridiales sp. RNAcentral describes it as "partial contains 5.8S ribosomal RNA, internal transcribed spacer 2, and large subunit ribosomal RNA". Lineage: Eukaryota; Fungi; Chytridiomycota; Chytridiomycetes; Chytridiales. The record is from RNAcentral.
CGCACCUUGCACUCUGUUCUGCAGAGUAUGCCUGUUUGAGAAUCUAUAGUAUUUUUCAACAGUAGUUGAAGAUUUGGAUUAUGUUGAUAAACUGAUCUUAAUACUAUAUCUUUUGGUUGUUUGUAUGACGACGUACAUUACCGGAGAGAUGAAGGGUUCGCCCACUUCCUCUGGGAAAUUGUGCUAGUGCUAACAGCUAUAAAGCCAACUUUUUUUUAAAUCUUGGUCUCAAAUCAGGUAGGAAGACCCGCUGAACUUAA